Molecule: long non-coding RNA, 1957 nt
Organism: Magnolia sinica
Lineage: Eukaryota; Viridiplantae; Streptophyta; Magnoliopsida; Magnoliales; Magnoliaceae
Exons: 6
Source: RefSeq, a predicted model, not a curated record
UCUCCCAGAUAAGGUAACAUUUGAUUAGUCCCCUGCAAAUUGGGCCACUGCAGGUCUGUGAUGAAAUAAUAAAAUAUAUAGCAACUGUCCACGUUCAGUGAGAGGAAAAAGAAAUUGGAUGCAAUCUUCCAAUCUGGGGGCUUGUGGGGCCUGUUAAACCAAAUGUUCUGGAUCACUGAGCCACAGGCCUCUCUUGUUCAAACUGAGGAUACUAUGCCUAUCCUCAGUCUGGGGUUCCUGUAAUUUCUCUGUCCUCCAACAUAGCAAAACACGCUGUCAUUGCUUAUCUUUUUUCUUUGCAUCAUUAGAGAAGCACUAAUGAUGUACUGACCUUGUUUUUUGGAAUAAGUCAUGUUGUCUUCCUUUUCCAUGAUACUGUGUACAGGGCAAGUACACACUUUUAAGAUGAAGUUGUUGGGCGGGAACGGGAACCAAAUGACUUGCAUCACCUUCGAUUUCUCAAUUGGGUUCGGAUCACCCAUCAGCGAGAGUUAAGGUCGAGGCAUGGAUGGGGGACAACUCUUGUCUACAUCUCGUAAGGUUUGAGAGAAUGUUAGCCUCGCAUGACGUGUCUGACUCCCACCAUCAGAAGCAAUCUUCCUUGGUUAUGGUUUCUCAAAGGCAUCAGUCCUGUGGCGAUAUUGAAGAAUGCAACUCAAGUGACAAGAUAUUCUGACCAAAACCAGCAGCAAUCUUCUAAGAUACAGCAACACUCCUCAAUAUAAAAUGCAUCAAUAAGAAGACGGGAGAGCAGUACACGGAAGGGCCCAAGGUUGAAAAGUACAAGGAGAUGCUGAUGAAGAAAACUCAAGAUCAGGGCGCCUAGUUUAUUUCUUAUGACCCAGUCAAAGGGGAGUGGAAGUUCAAGGACUUAUCUAGGUGCAAGGAAACAUUGUCAACCCUUAAAGCCAUGCAGGGGCAAGGAGGCUAUCCACAACUAGAACUGGACAUAGCUCACCUUGAAAAGGAAAUUGAGUUAUAUUCAAUGGAGAAGCUGUGUUAUGAAGCUCAAAUGAUAGUAUGGUAAAUGAGAAGGCUCCAUCUCCUUUUCAAAUAGGAAAUUGCUUCACAUCUGGGCUUUCCUGAUGGUUCUGUAAGCCACUAUGGUCUGGAUGUUUAUGUUAAAAGUGUGUUAUUAAUGGCUGACAUUGUUCUUUAUGGUUCCUUUGAAGUACCCAUCAUUGCUCCUGACUUGGCUAGCAUAAAAAGAUAUGAGGCAGCCAUGAUACGAUUGGAUAUGAGUGAAUAUAUGGAGCGGCAAAGAAAGUAGUUGGCAAGAUUAAAGUGGAAGGUUAGUUUUCAAUGGUAUAAACCGAAUGUGGGUGCUAAUUGAUGAAUUUUCAGGGAUUCUAUGCCCACUUUUUAGUCUUAAGCACAACCUGUGAAGUGAUCUGAGCUUAGCUAUAGGAACUUUCUGCUCAAGAUGCCACUCCUGCUUCCUUUCCCAUUCGAAGUUGUGAUACUGCUACAAUUUUCUUUUUUCUAAGAAUUUCAACCACUGUGGUAUUGGAUGCUCCAGGCCUAGUCAUAUGGAGAACUUUGUCUUGGUUUUUAAUUAAUUGUGGGCUUUUCUAUCAUAUUACUGUUCUUUCUGGAGAAUGUGCAAAUGAAGUGGUGAGCUUUCACAAAUUUUGCUUCAAUUAUUUUCUCUAGGAAUGCAACUAUAGAGGGAUUUAACUCUAGGAAUUACUGGAAGAUGCUCAUACCAGACAUGGACUGCUGGGCUAUGAUGGUGUGAUGCAUAUAGGCUUCUUCUCUUUUCUUUUGUAAGUUAUUAAAAAGAAAAAAAAUGGCAUUCCUGUUACUUCUGAUCAACUACUAGAGGUUAUAAAAAGUGUCUCAAAAUUUCUUGUCUUCAUUGUAUUAUAAAUUAGAGGUACAAUUGAUCUACAGUGGAAUGAUGGCCGCACACACAUUGAUGAAAUGAUGGCCAUUUAUAUUAAUUUUCUUUUUUGGA